CCUCUUGUAGUUUACUUAAAACACUGCCCUUUCACCGCAAAGAAGAAUAACCUUCCAAGAGUU
Molecule: transfer RNA, 63 nt
Filed under: Diaphorina citri (Asian citrus psyllid)
Lineage: Eukaryota; Metazoa; Arthropoda; Insecta; Hemiptera; Psyllidae
Description: tRNA-Glu
Source: RNAcentral